AUGAGAAAAAAGAAAUGGCCGGGGAAUCCCUGUUGCUCUUUCUGCAAACAGGUUGAAACGGUACAACACCUGUUCUUCAAUUGUCCCGUGGCGAGAAUUGUCUGGCGAUCGAUUGGGGUUGCUCUUGGUAUUGAUAGAUGUCCGUCGAAUUACUGGCAAUACUUUGUGUGGUGCAAUAAAUUCCUUCCUGGGAAGCAAAAGUUUUACAUAGUAGGUCUAGCGGCUGUGUGUUGGGCCAUUUGGUUGGCACGCAACCGAGCUACCUUUGAAAAAAAAACAUAUCAAGACUCCUUUUGA
RNAcentral lists this ribosomal RNA (297 nucleotides) under Triticum aestivum (bread wheat). RNAcentral describes it as "partial small subunit ribosomal RNA". Lineage: Eukaryota; Viridiplantae; Streptophyta; Magnoliopsida; Poales; Poaceae. The record is from RNAcentral.